Molecule: long non-coding RNA, 378 nt
Organism: Phyllostomus discolor (pale spear-nosed bat)
Lineage: Eukaryota; Metazoa; Chordata; Mammalia; Chiroptera; Phyllostomidae
Exons: 3
Source: RefSeq, a predicted model, not a curated record
AGCACAGCCAGGAGGAGAAGCAGAGCCGGGAGACGCACACGCACACCUAGCCCAGCUGCAGAGGUCAGUCAACAGGUCAACAACAAAGAAUGUGAACUACGAAAUAACUGCUGCUUUUCUUCUGCCCUCCCAACCUCCCAACAAUCUCCUAUAGCCGCAUGAACUGAAACAUACAAGGAAAGGAAUUCUGGCAACACAGGUCAGGCUACCCAAGGAUACCUAACAAAGCCAUGACAUGUCAUACUGAGAAAGUAUUUGGCUUAAAAAAUCUGUGCAUUUAUGUCUCAUUAAACGAAGGGACUCAGCAGUCUGCAGGACACUGGGGAGUAAAAUAUAGUCCCAAGAAGACCCAAGAGCCGUUUCUAUCUACAGUUAAAA